UCCGGUGACUAUAGCAUAGGGGAAACACCCGUUCCCAUUUCGAACACGGAAGUUAAGCCUUAUUGCGCCGAUGGUACUGCCUUGGAGACGGGGUGGGAGAGUAGGUCGUUGCCGGGA
Molecule: ribosomal RNA, 117 nt
Filed under: Fidelibacterota bacterium
Lineage: Bacteria; Pseudomonadati; Fidelibacterota
Source: RNAcentral